This 776-nucleotide ribosomal RNA is filed under the name uncultured eukaryote. RNAcentral describes it as "bacterial SSU rRNA". It matches the Rfam family "Bacterial small subunit ribosomal RNA", at positions 516 to 1302 of the family's 1533-position model. The record is from RNAcentral.
CGCGGUAUACGGGGGAAGCAGCGUUAUCCGGAAUCAUUGGGCGUAAAGCGCCUGUAGGUUGUUUAAUAAGUCUGUUGUUAAAGACUAGGGCUCAACCCUAGGAAGGCAAUGGAAACUACUAGACUUGAGUAUGAUAGGGGUAGAGGGAAUUUCUAGUGUAGCGGUGAAAUGCGUAGAUAUUAGGAAGAACACCGGUGGCGAAGGCGCUCUACUGGAUCAUUACUGACACUCAGAGGCGAAAGCUAGGGUAGCAAAAGGGAUUAGAUACCCCUGUAGUCCUGGCCGUAAACGAUGGAUACUAGAUGUUGCGUUUAUUAUGCAGUAUCGUAGCUAACGCGUUAAGUAUCCCGCCUGGGGAGUACGCUCGCAAGGGUGAAACUCAAAGGAAUUGACGGGGGCCCGCACAAGCGGUGGAGCAUGUGGUUUAAUUCGAUGCAACGCGAAGAACCUUACCAAGGCUUGACAUACUACAAAUUUCUUUGAAAGAGGAAAGUGCCUUCGGGAAUGUAGAUACAGGUGGUGCAUGGCUGUCGUCAGCUCGUGUCGUGAGAUGUUGGGUUAAGUCCCGCAACGAGCGCAACCCUUAUUUUUAGUUGCUAAUUUAUUAGGUUUUCUAGAAAGACUGCCGGUGACAAACCGGAGGAAGGUGAGGAUGACGUCAAGUCAGCAUGCCCCUUAUGCCUUGGGCUGCACACGUGCUACAAUGGUUAAGACAAAGAGUUGCGAGCUCGCGAGAGUCAGCUAAUCUCAUAAACUUAGCCUAAGUUCGGAUGAGU